This 2467-nucleotide ribosomal RNA is filed under the name Campylobacter jejuni. RNAcentral describes it as "partial 23S ribosomal RNA". It matches the Rfam family "Bacterial large subunit ribosomal RNA", at positions 606 to 2925 of the family's 2925-position model. Lineage: Bacteria; Pseudomonadati; Campylobacterota; Epsilonproteobacteria; Campylobacterales; Campylobacteraceae. The record is from RNAcentral.
UUUUGCAUAAUGAGCCUGCGAGUUGUGGUGUCUGGCAAGGUUAAGCAAACGCGAAGCCGUAGCGAAAGCGAGUCUGAAUAGGGCGCUUAGUCAGAUGCUGCAGACCCGAAACGAAGUGAUCUAUCCAUGAGCAAGUUGAAGCUAGUGUAAGAACUAGUGGAGGACUGAACCCAUAGGCGUUGAAAAGCCCCGGGAUGACUUGUGGAUAGGGGUGAAAGGCCAAUCAAACUUCGUGAUAGCUGGUUCUCUCCGAAAUAUAUUUAGGUAUAGCGUUGUGUCGUAAUAUAAGGGGGUAGAGCACUGAAUGGGCUAGGGCAUACACCAAUGUACCAAACCCUAUCAAACUCCGAAUACCUUAUAUGUAAUCACAGCAGUCAGGCGGCGAGUGAUAAAAUCCGUCGUCAAGAGGGAAACAACCCAGACUACCAGCUAAGGUCCCUAAAUCUUACUUAAGUGGAAAACGAUGUGAAGUUACUUAAACAACCAGGAGGUUGGCUUAGAAGCAGCCAUCCUUUAAAGAAAGCGUAAUAGCUCACUGGUCUAGUGAUUUUGCGCGGAAAAUAUAACGGGGCUAAAGUAAGUACCGAAGCUGUAGACUUGCACACAACUUAGAUUAUUUAAGUUUAGAAUAUGAGAAACUAAGUUAUAUGUUUAGUUAUAUUUUUACUGAUUUUUAUAGAGUAAAGAUAGAAAUAAAACUUAGUAAAAUCAGUAAAAAUAUUCUUAGACUAAAGUUAAGUAGUUUAAGUUGUGUGCAAGUGGUAGGAGAGCGUUCUAUUUGCGUCGAAGGUAUACCGGUAAGGAGUGCUGGAGCGAAUAGAAGUGAGCAUGCAGGCAUGAGUAGCGAUAAUUAAUGUGAGAAUCAUUAACGCCGUAAACCCAAGGUUUCCUACGCGAUGCUCGUCAUCGUAGGGUUAGUCGGGUCCUAAGUCGAGUCCGAAAGGGGUAGACGAUGGCAAAUUGGUUAAUAUUCCAAUACCAACAUUAGUGUGCGAUGGAAGGACGCUUAGGGCUAAGGGGGCUAGCGGAUGGAAGUGCUAGUCUAAGGUCGUAGGAGGUUGUACAGGCAAAUCCGUAUAACAAUACUCCGAGAACUGAAAGGCUUUUUGAAGUCUUCGGAUGGAUAGAAGAACCCCUGAUGCCGUCGAGCCAAGAAAAGUUUCUAAGUUUAGCUAAUGUUGCCCGUACCGUAAACCGACACAGGUGGGUGGGAUGAGUAUUCUAAGGCGCGUGGAAGAACUCUCUUUAAGGAACUCUGCAAAAUAGCACCGUAUCUUCGGUAUAAGGUGUGGUUAGCUUUGUAUUAGGAUUUACUCCGAAAGCAAGGAAACUUACAACAAAGAGUCCCUCCCGACUGUUUACCAAAAACACAGCACUCUGCUAACUCGUAAGAGGAUGUAUAGGGUGUGACGCCUGCCCGGUGCUCGAAGGUUAAUUGAUGGGGUUAGCAUUAGCGAAGCUCUUGAUCGAAGCCCGAGUAAACGGCGGCCGUAACUAUAACGGUCCUAAGGUAGCGAAAUUCCUUGUCGGUUAAAUACCGACCUGCAUGAAUGGCGUAACGAGAUGGGAGCUGUCUCAAAGAGGGAUCCAGUGAAAUUGUAGUGGAGGUGAAAAUUCCUCCUACCCGCGGCAAGACGGAAAGACCCCGUGGACCUUUACUACAGCUUGACACUGCUACUUGGAUAAGAAUGUGCAGGAUAGGUGGGAGGCUUUGAGUAUAUGACGCCAGUUGUAUAUGAGCCAUUGUUGAGAUACCACUCUUUCUUAUUUGGGUAGCUAACCAGCUUGAGUUAUCCUCAAGUGGGACAAUGUCUGGUGGGUAGUUUGACUGGGGCGGUCGCCUCCCAAAUAAUAACGGAGGCUUACAAAGGUUGGCUCAGAACGGUUGGAAAUCGUUCGUAGAGUAUAAAGGUAUAAGCCAGCUUAACUGCAAGACAUACAAGUCAAGCAGAGACGAAAGUCGGUCUUAGUGAUCCGGUGGUUCUGUGUGGAAGGGCCAUCGCUCAAAGGAUAAAAGGUACCCCGGGGAUAACAGGCUGAUCUCCCCCAAGAGCUCACAUCGACGGGGAGGUUUGGCACCUCGAUGUCGGCUCAUCGCAUCCUGGGGCUGGAGCAGGUCCCAAGGGUAUGGCUGUUCGCCAUUUAAAGCGGUACGCGAGCUGGGUUCAGAACGUCGUGAGACAGUUCGGUCCCUAUCUGCCGUGGGCGUAAGAAGAUUGAAGAGAUUUGACCCUAGUACGAGAGGACCGGGUUGAACAAACCACUGGUGUAGCUGUUGUUCUGCCAAGAGCAUCGCAGCGUAGCUAAGUUUGGAAAGGAUAAACGCUGAAAGCAUCUAAGCGUGAAGCCAACUCUAAGAUGAAUCUUCUCUAAGCUCUCUAGAAGACUACUAGUUUGAUAGGCUGGGUGUGUAAUGGAUGAAAGUCCUUUAGCUGACCAGUACUAAUAGAGCGUUUGGCUUAUCUUU